GGAAGUGGUAGCUCAGUGGUUAGGACGUCGGACUUCUGAUCGGAAGGACGUGAGGUCAAACCCCAGCACUGCCG
Molecule: non-coding RNA, 74 nt
Organism: Ameiurus melas (black bullhead)
Lineage: Eukaryota; Metazoa; Chordata; Actinopteri; Siluriformes; Ictaluridae
Source: the annotation of a GenBank genome assembly